GCCUUGAAAGCCCGAUUGUUUGGGCGCCUGGUCUUGUAAAUCAGGAGGGAGGGUUAAAACCCCUCUCAAGGCU
RNAcentral lists this transfer RNA (73 nucleotides) under Micropyga tuberculata. RNAcentral describes it as "tRNA-Thr". It matches the Rfam family "tRNA". Rfam says of the family: Transfer RNA (tRNA) molecules are approximately 80 nucleotides in length. Their secondary structure includes four short double-helical elements and three loops (D, anti-codon, and T loops). Further hydrogen bonds mediate the characteristic L-shaped molecular structure. tRNAs have two regions of fundamental functional importance: the anti-codon, which is responsible for specific mRNA codon recognition, and the 3' end, to which the tRNAs corresponding amino acid is attached (by aminoacyl-tRNA synthetases). tRNAs cope with the degeneracy of the genetic code in two manners: having more than one tRNA (with a specific anti-codon) for a particular amino acid; and 'wobble' base-pairing, i.e. permitting non-standard base-pairing at the 3rd anti-codon position. Lineage: Eukaryota; Metazoa; Echinodermata; Echinoidea; Micropygoida; Micropygidae. The record is from RNAcentral.